Molecule: long non-coding RNA, 902 nt
Filed under: Heterocephalus glaber (naked mole-rat)
Lineage: Eukaryota; Metazoa; Chordata; Mammalia; Rodentia; Bathyergidae
Description: lncRNA (ENSHGLG00100049150.1)
Source: RNAcentral
CUCUGACCACCACCCUAAAGAAUCCAGGGAUGCUCUACCCUGUGCUCCUGGGCUCCUGUACAUCUACAGAGUCAAGACGGGCCUCAAAUAAGACUCAGACCUUUAAAUUCUAACUCGAGGCAAAACAGGGUUCUUCUGAUGUCUAAAUGUUCCUGUUUGUUUAAGGACAAUGAAGUCAUACCUAAGGACAUUGGGCCUAAGACUGAAGCGCCUACUGGGAAUAUGAAGAGGGUCUUUUGUUCUGGAAGCAGUCCAACUUCACUCGCUGUACAUCGUGUUUCUCACAAGCUACAAUCAAGACGUCAAGUGAUUCUAUAAUCAUUUCAAAGCUUUUGGGGAAGGAUCCCAUUGCAGGAUAUUUCCUGUUCUCUUUCAGGAGUCAAGCCCUCAAAGGAAUCAGGCUGAAGACUUCAUUUUCUCACUGGUUGUUGUAUUAAUGCUGCUGUCAAUGCCUGGAAAUACUGGUGGCUUCCAUAAAACAGCUCACAUCAUGACUUUCCUUCCUUAAAGUGAGAAAUCAAGUUUGAAAACAUGGAAGAAUCAGACUUUUAUUUUUUAUCAUGGUAAUAACAUUUACAAACAUGUUUCCGGAAUGCAUUAUGCUCAUAAACCAAAGUUUUCCUGUAUAUUGAAAGUUGCAAUGUAUUGUUUUAAAAUAUGUAUACAAAAAAAUAAGAACCAAGAGAGUAUGUAAAGGUGCGUAUCUCCAGUGAUGAAUGUCAUUAUGUUGUACACCUAAAAUGUACCAAUAAAAGGAUAUACAAAAAUAAAAUAAAAUAUGUAUACAUCCAGAAGCCAUCAGCACAGUCAAGAUGAUGAAGCUAUCCUUCAAUUCCCAAUUUUCUCACAUAGUUGGGAAUUCCUUCUGCUUCCCCUCACCCUUCAUCCUCGGGCAACCUCUG